GGCGCUGUGGUCAAGUGGUAAGACGGUUGGUUGCAACCCAUCAGUCCUCGGUUCGAUUCCGAGCAGCGCCUCCA
This 74-nucleotide transfer RNA is filed under the name marine sediment metagenome. RNAcentral's name for it is "tRNA-Cys". It matches the Rfam family "tRNA". Rfam says of the family: Transfer RNA (tRNA) molecules are approximately 80 nucleotides in length. The record is from RNAcentral.